Molecule: long non-coding RNA, 656 nt
Filed under: Rosa chinensis
Lineage: Eukaryota; Viridiplantae; Streptophyta; Magnoliopsida; Rosales; Rosaceae
Description: sRNA RchiOBHm_Chr1g0332371
Source: RNAcentral
CAACUCUUUCUCUCUCCUCUCCCCCGAUCUCUCUUCCUCCGGUUCGGCCAUUUUUCUUCUUCCAUCAAAUUCCGGCGAUUCCGGCCACCAACCGGCGUGCCACCGGUCACCAGAGGAGCGCCUCCUCCCUCCGAGCACCCUAGCAACCGGGGUUUGGGACGAUUUGGCCGGAAAACGCAGAUCGAAGCAAAAACCUCCUCCGGCUGCAGUUUGAUACUUUUGCCGAUUCCCGGCGAUUCCGGCCACCUCCGGUCCCCAUCUUUCUGUCGAAGGACGUGAGGAGGAUUUCCUCGAGGAGGGUUUGGAUCGACGGCAGGCUUAGCCGUACUUAAUCACAGUGCUGUGGACCGGCAUAGGAGCGGAGGCUAGUACCACCUUUGUCAUCCAUUCUCAGUAGGUUAUUGAUUAACCUACUUAUUGUAUUAUAUUCCGAGUCUGUUCCUUAGAUUGCUCUGAAUACUUGUUGAGAGUGGAUUUAUACAUUUGUAUAAUUAUGUGUGUAAGAGAGUGGUUUAUUUUGGGAGAUUGUUGAACGAUUGAGUUACGGGGUUGUAUUUGUUUAAGAUGUUUUGGUUGAAGCAGGGCGGCUUCAAGCGUAGAACUUAAAUUAUUUUGAGGAGUGUUUUCAGCAGGUUUAGGGUUGCCCAUUUUUAGGG